GUGGGGGAUAUUGCGCAAUGGGGGAAACCCUGACGCAGCAACGCCGCGUGAAGGAAGAAGGUUUUCGGAUUGUAAACUUCUGUUCUUAGGGAAGAAGAAAGUGACGGUACCUAAGGAGCAAGCCACGGCUAACUACGUGCCAGCAGCCGCGGUAAUACGUAGGUGGCAAGCGUUGUCCGGAUUUACUGGGUGUAAAGGGCGCGUAGGCGGGAUAUCAAGUUAGUCGUGAAAUACCGGGGCUCAACCCCGGGGCUGCGAUUAAAACUGAUAUUCUUGAGUAUCGGAGAGGAAAGCGGAAUUCCUAGUGUAGCGGUGAAAUGCGUAGAUAUUAGGAGGAACACCAGUGGCGAAGGCGGCUUUCUGGACGACAACUGACGCUGAGGCGCGAAAGUGUGGGGAGCAAACAGGAUUAGAAACCCUGGUAGUCC
RNAcentral lists this ribosomal RNA (428 nucleotides) under uncultured bacterium. RNAcentral describes it as "bacterial SSU rRNA". It matches the Rfam family "Bacterial small subunit ribosomal RNA", at positions 354 to 796 of the family's 1533-position model. The record is from RNAcentral.